GACGAACGCUGGCGGCGUGCUUAACACAUGCAAGUCGAGCGGUAAGGCCCUUUCGGGGGUACACGAGCGGCGAACGGGUGAGUAACACGUGGGUGACCUGCCCUCAGCUCUGGGAUAAGCCUGGGAAACUGGGUCUAAUACCGGAUAUGACUCCAUGACGCAUGUUGUGGGGUGGAAAGCCUUGUGCGGCUGAGGAUGGGCCCGCGGCCUAUCAGCUUGUUGGUGGGGGAUGGCCUACCAAGGCGACGACGGGUAGCCGGCCUGAGAGGGCGACCGGCCACACUGGGACUGAGACACGGCCCAGACUCCUACGGGAGGGCAGCAGUGGGGAAUCUUGCGCAAUGGGCGAAAGCCUGACGCAGCGACGCCGCGUGAGGGAUGACGGCCUGG
Molecule: ribosomal RNA, 390 nt
Filed under: uncultured bacterium
Lineage: Bacteria
Description: bacterial SSU rRNA
Rfam family: Bacterial small subunit ribosomal RNA
Source: RNAcentral